RNAcentral lists this long non-coding RNA (346 nucleotides) under Triticum aestivum (bread wheat). Its description in RNAcentral is "long non-coding RNA (TAES_LNC005754)". Lineage: Eukaryota; Viridiplantae; Streptophyta; Magnoliopsida; Poales; Poaceae. The record is from RNAcentral.
AAGGCGAUGGGAAUGGAGGAGCCUCAGGUAAACUGUAACGAACAUUGUUUAAUCAUCAAUUUAAUCUAUAGGUGCACAAUGAACAUUGCUUAAUCAUCAAUAUAAUCUGCAGAUGCCAAUGGUACAAUGAUUAGGAAAAGAAGGUGGUAUCAACUCCAUGAGAAGCAUACUGUAUAUGCUAUGGAUCUAGAGAGGACCAAAGCUGGGGUAUUGAGUCCAGGAGUGUCCAAAGAGGUGUCUGACCUUACAGGCAUACCUCAGCGGACAGUGCAAAACUGGUGGAAGAAAUGCAAGGAAGCCGGUGGAAUACACGCACUGGAAAACAAACGGGCAAAAAACUGCGGCC